Ipomoea nil (Japanese morning glory) is the source of this 101-nucleotide long non-coding RNA. RefSeq lists it as uncharacterized. Lineage: Eukaryota; Viridiplantae; Streptophyta; Magnoliopsida; Solanales; Convolvulaceae. The transcript is spliced from 3 exons. The record is from RefSeq and is a predicted model, not a curated record.
CAAUUGAUCCCACAGACUCUUUUUAGUCUUUAAGAUAAAAAUGGUGGGUUGGUUUAGAGUGUUGGACAGAUUUACGUAAGACUCCCUUAGGCGAUGUUUGG